This 467-nucleotide ribosomal RNA is filed under the name uncultured bacterium. Its description in RNAcentral is "partial 16S ribosomal RNA". It matches the Rfam family "Bacterial small subunit ribosomal RNA", at positions 28 to 506 of the family's 1533-position model. The record is from RNAcentral.
GACGAACGCUGGCGGCGUGCUUAACACAUGCGAGUCGAACGGAAAGGCCCUGCUUUUGUGGGGUGCUCGAGUGGCGAACGGGUGAGUAACACGUGAGUAACCUGCCCUUGACUUUGGGAUAACUUCAGGAAACUGGGGCUAAUACCGGAUAGGAGCUCCUGCUGCAUGGUGGGGGUUGGAAAGUUUCGGCGGUUGGGGAUGGACUCGCGGCUUAUCAGCUUGUUGGUGGGGUAGUGGCUUACCAAGGCUUUGACGGGUAGCCGGCCUGAGAGGGUGACCGGCCACAUUGGGACUGAGAUACGGCCCAGACUCCUACGGGAGGCAGCAGUGGGGAAUAUUGCACAAUGGGCGGAAGCCUGAGGCAGCAACGCCGCGUGCGGGAUGACGGCCUUCGGGUUGUAAACCGCUUUCGCCUGUGACGAAGCGUGAGUGACGGUAAUGGGUAAAGAAGCACCGGCUAACUACGU